GACGGAAAAAAAAACACAAAUUAAUGGCGGCUGAAUAUUCCGGUAGCCGAAGUUCCAACACACAGCUUCUCGCUGAACUCGAAGCCCUAAGUGAAAAUCUUUACCAGAAACCUCAGGCUCCAGUUGGUCGCAGAACAAACUCUCUCGCUCUCCCUCGCAGCUCCGUUCCGUCCCUCGUGACCUCUGCCGAGGAUGUGACGGUGCCGAAACCACGGUCUCGGCGUUUGUCUCUGUCUCCAUGGCGGUCUCGACCCAAGCUUGAGGCAGAGGAGGAAGAGAAUAUGGCUCAGAAGAUAAGCAUCAAGACACCAGAAGAGUCAUGAAAAUCUUUACCAGAAACCUCAGGCUCCAGUUGGUCGCAGAACUAACUCUCUCGCUCUCCCUCGCAGCUCCGUUCCGUCCCUCGUGACCUCUGCCGAGGAUGUGACGGUACCGAAACCACGGUCUCGGCGUUUGUCUCUGUCUCCAUGGCGGUCGAGACCCAAGCUUGAGGCAGAGGAGGAAGAGAAUAUGACUCAGAAGAUAAGCAUCAAGACACCAGAAGAGUCUUCAUUGGUGGGAUCCAAAGCCAAGGAAGAGAGAAAAGGGAUAUGGAACUGGAAACCCAUUCGCGGGCUGGCCCGAAUCGGAA
Molecule: long non-coding RNA, 631 nt
Filed under: Brassica napus (rape)
Lineage: Eukaryota; Viridiplantae; Streptophyta; Magnoliopsida; Brassicales; Brassicaceae
Description: long non-coding RNA (BNAP_LNC007014)
Source: RNAcentral